CCUACGGGUGGCAGCAGUGGGGAAUAUUGGUCAAUGGGGGGAACUCUGAUCCAGCGACGCCGCGUGAGUGAAGACGUAUCUCGGUAUGUAAAGCUCUUUCAGCAGGGAAGAAAGACAUGACGGUACCUGACUAAGAAGCCUCGGCUAACUACGUGACAGCAGCCGCGGUAAUACGUAGGGGGCAAGCGUUAUCCGGAUUUACUGGGUGUAAAGGGAGCGUAGACGGCGAUGCAAGUCUGAAGUGAAAGGCGGGGGCCCAACCCCUGGACUGCUUUGGAAACUGUAUGGCGUGAGUGCAGGUGAGGUAAGUGGAAUGCCUAGUGUAGCGGUGAAAUGCGUAGAGAUUAGGAGGAACACCAGUGGCGAAGGCGGCUUACUGGACUGUAACUGACGUUGAGGCUCGAAAGCGUGGGGAGCAAACAGGAUUAGAUACCCGAGUAGUC
This 443-nucleotide ribosomal RNA is filed under the name uncultured bacterium. RNAcentral's name for it is "partial 16S ribosomal RNA". It matches the Rfam family "Bacterial small subunit ribosomal RNA", at positions 338 to 795 of the family's 1533-position model. The record is from RNAcentral.